This 235-nucleotide long non-coding RNA is filed under the name Mytilus galloprovincialis (Mediterranean mussel). Lineage: Eukaryota; Metazoa; Mollusca; Bivalvia; Mytilida; Mytilidae. The record is from RNAcentral.
UGUUCUUGAACAAUUGAGAGGUCUUUCCUUUUCGAAAUGUAAAGUACAUGUUCCAAUAGGCGUAGAAUGCAUUGAAAAGCUCUCAAACACACAUAAAACCGCUAAAAAAUGACAAAAACAAUAAAUUCGAUAAUUUGGACAUGACCUUGACUUUUGACCUUGUGACCUUUGUGAAGGUCAUUGGUCCACAAUGUCAUUGUAAAAGACUCCAUGGGUCUAGGACUUUUCGUUCAAG